This 71-nucleotide transfer RNA is filed under the name Fejervarya cancrivora (crab-eating frog). RNAcentral's name for it is "tRNA-Thr". It matches the Rfam family "tRNA". From Rfam's summary of the family: Transfer RNA (tRNA) molecules are approximately 80 nucleotides in length. Their secondary structure includes four short double-helical elements and three loops (D, anti-codon, and T loops). Lineage: Eukaryota; Metazoa; Chordata; Amphibia; Anura; Dicroglossidae. The record is from RNAcentral.
GCUCCGGUAGCUUAAUUUUAAAGCACUGGUCUUGUAAACCAGAGAAUGCAGCUUAGACCCUGCCCGAAGCU